This 451-nucleotide ribosomal RNA is filed under the name uncultured bacterium. RNAcentral describes it as "partial 16S ribosomal RNA". It matches the Rfam family "Bacterial small subunit ribosomal RNA", at positions 29 to 523 of the family's 1533-position model. The record is from RNAcentral.
AGCGAACGCUGGCGGCAGGCCUAAUACAUGCAAGUCGAGCGGCCGUAGCAAUACGGCAGCGGCAGACGGGAGAGUAACACGUGGGAACGUACCUUUCAGUUCGGAACAACCCAGGGAAACUUGGGCUAAUACCGGAUACGUCCGUACGGAGAAAGAUUUAUCGCCGAAAGAUCGGCCCGCGUCUGAUUAGCUUGUUGGUGAGGUAACGGCUCACCAAGGCGACGAUCAGUAGCUGGUCUGAGAGGAUGAUCAGCCUCACUGGGACUGAGACACGGCCCAGACUCCUACGGGAGGCAGCAGUAGGGAAUAUUGGACAAUGGGCGCAAGCCUGAUCCAGCCAUGCCGCGUGAGUGAUGAAGGCCCUAGGGUUGUAAAGCUCUUUCGGCGGGGAAGAUAAUGACGGUACCCGCAGAAGAAGCCCCGGCUAACUUCGUGCCAGCCGCCGCAGUAA